Dendrobium catenatum is the source of this 2528-nucleotide RNA transcript. RefSeq lists it as uncharacterized. The record is from RefSeq and is a predicted model, not a curated record. Lineage: Eukaryota; Viridiplantae; Streptophyta; Magnoliopsida; Asparagales; Orchidaceae. The transcript is spliced from 12 exons.
AAUUAGCGAGGCUCACGUAAUCUGGCUUGGACUCAUAGAAUAUUGCUUAAACUCUUAGCAGGACCGACUCAAACUCGGCUCUGACGGAUUUGCACCCUAAAUGCUGCGGCACUUCCAGCAGGCUCGGCUUCUAGCAUUGGAUUCGGAUUCUGAUCCGCCAAAGUCAUUUUGUUAAGCUCAACGCGAACGCAGUUCAGUCUACAAAAGUACCGGCUUUUCAAGGGGUUGUGCAAACCAAAAAAAACGUUGAACUUUUCGUACCACAGCUAUGGUCUCUUCUCUCCUCUGUCUCCAUUACUCUUCAUUCUAUUUUUCAAGGAGAACGCAAGACGUUGUAAGAGAUUUAUUGCUUCGUCCGGGAUGUGGCCUGUCCUACUUUAGACUUUACCCAAGUCUGCUGCCUUGUUCUCCUGAAAAGCUGUUGCUGAGUUUGCGUCACAGUAAAGGCAAAAAACCUCAAUUUGCUUCUGGCUCUGUUGCUGUGGAAGGUCUAGAGAGGUCUAAGAUGCUCUGCAAUUCUGAUCCGAGAAUUCAUGAUACGGAUGAGUUUGUGAGUCAGUUGCAAGAAUUAUUCACCCAAGUCAAAAGCAUGAUCAAGAGUGGGAACAAAGAGGACGCCAUGCAUAUUCUUCAAGCAAAUUAUGAAGCAGUGAAAGAACAGAUGAAUUAUGGGUGUAAAGGCAUAGAGCAAGCUGCUAUAUUGGACACCUUAGCUUUGGGAUACAUGGGUAUUGGUGACGUCAAGUUUGUUAAGCAUUUAUUGAAACUGCUGAAGGAUAUAACAUCUUGUGUAGAAGAUGAUCAACCACUGUUGGACUCAAUAUUAAUGCACAUGGGAAGCAUAUCUUUAACUAUUGGGAAGUUUGAUGAUGCUUCACUUGUGUAUGACAGAUGCCUGAAAAUUUUAGAACGAGAGUUUGGUGAGGAUAACCCUUUCCUCAUAACUCCACUUAUGGGAAGGGCAAAAGUCUUCAGAUUAACUGGGCGGAUCACUAAGGCAGAAUCUAUUUAUCACCGGGCAAUUAAAAUCUUGGAAAAGUGUAGAGGAAUGGAAAGCGAGGAGCUGGUGGUCCCUCUAUUCGGCCUUGGUGAUCUCUACAUUAGUGAAGGGAAGGCAAGAGAGGCUGAGUCUUGCUUUAGCAGAAUUUUAUGCAUAUAUCAGAAGCAAUAUGGAGAAACCGAUGGAAAGGUGGGAAUAGCCAUGUCUUCAUUGGCCCAUGCAAAGUGUGCAAAAGGAGAAGUAAAAGAGGCUAUAAAUCUUUAUAGAUCUGGGCUUCAGAUCAUUAAUGAAUCAAAAUAUUUGAAUUUAGAUGAUGAUCUUCUAGAAAAGAUGAGAGUUGAUUUAGCAGAGUUGCUUCAUGCUACAGGAAGGGAACAGGAAGGUAGAGAAGUACUUCAGGAAAGCCUUUUGAUCAAUGAAAAGUACAAGGGGAUUGAGCAUCCUAAUUCAGUGGGUCAUCUUCUGAAUCUAGCCAUCUCUUAUUCCCGAUCAAAAAACUAUACUGAGGCUGAACGUUUGCUGAGAACAUGCUUGCAUAUUAUGUCUAAGACAGUAGACCCACGUGAUCAAUCCAUCACUAUUCCAAUGUUACACCUUGCUGUUACCUUGUACCACCUAAAAGAAGAUGAAGAAGCUGAGGACCUUGCUCUUGAAGUAGUUCAAAUUCGUGAGAAAUUAAUCGGGAAAGAAUCUCUUCCUGUUGGAAUUCAUAGAUCUAGCAUUGGAAAGAUUCAUAAAAGGGGCGAAGCCCUUGAUUGCUUAGUCUCCAUUCAAACUAGAUUAGAGAGGGACGACAAAGAUAUUUUAAUCAAGUUGAGAAGAGUUUUGAGCAUUCAAGAGAGAGAGCUAGGUCAUGAGAGUGAGGAAUCCUUAACAACAUUGAAAAAGGUGGUGUUCUAUUUGGAUAAAAUGGGGCUGAAGGAUGAGAAACUGCCUCUCCAAAGAAGAUUACAUUUGUUAAAGACGAAAUUAAAACACAUAAUUCCUGUAUGAGCUCUUGCAGUUCUCUUCUAGCCAAAAGUUCUCUUGAAAUAGAAAGCAUGGAGUCCUUCCAAUUUGUGUAAAGAAUGUUAAUGGAACUGCUGCAGUAUAUUCUUCAGCGCAGGUUCCCACAGCUAGUUCUGGAUGGAAUCCUUGGCAAGGUAGAUGGAGUUGAUUUUGUUAGUACCCUUCUUGAGACAAUGGUAGCAGAACUCGGUGCAGCUAAUGAGGUAACAAAUGAAGGUAAUGGAGGCAGUUGGAUUAGUCUUCUUCCAUUGAUGGUGGAGAUGAAAUGACCCGAAGGAGGCAGCAAAGUGGAGCUGGAAGGUAUAGAAACUAUUGAAGAUGGUAGGAUAAAUCAUCACAUAAAAGUUAUUGUAAGGGAUUUCGGAUAUGUUGGUGUUGAUGGCUUUUUAUCUUGUAUAUGCACAUAUAGAACAUCAAAUAGUAUGAAAGAUAUUUGGAUGCUGAAAGUUAGGAAUAUAGUCUAUAUAUAUAUCUGUGUGUGUGUGCAUUCUCAAUAAAACAAUGGAAGCAUGUGACACAA